UCCCGCUCUCCUCUCUAUCCAUCGAGUAGGGAAAUGCCUCCUGGGGGCUCCUUUAUCCGUCGCCGUAUCUCUUUCGUGGGCUUUCCUUCUCGAGACCUCCGAUCGCGACUGAGCGAGAGGGGAAGCGGACGAGGAGGACGAUGAGCGAUCGAAGCGGUCCAUCAACGCGGUGAUCUAUUGGGUGGGUGAAGCCGCAGCCACCUGAGGUGGCGGUCUUCCUCUCAGUCGUCGCGGGGAUAGGGCGCUCGCCUUCCUCCGCUUCACGGUCCGCGAUUACGGCAACCUCUUUCGUCACCGUCGAGGCCGCCCACGCCCUCGGGCUCUCCGUCCUCAUCUAUUAGCUAACCGAGGCGCGAGCUUGCGCCGGUCUUGGAUACUGACGGCUAUUGACUGCUUUCGUCUAUGGUUCUUCUUGCUGAAAUCAUUCAAACCUUUGUUCCAGCAGAUUUUUGUUAUUAUUGUGGGAAGAGCCUUGUUGGUGGACAACUGGUGCUACGGCUUCCCUCUGUGUGAGGCCUGCAAUUACUGUGGACAGUCAUGUCAACAUUACUGAGAACUAUAAUCCUGGAAAUUGAAGCAGGGGGAGAGGCUUUGCGUCUGUCUAGCUCUUUACUUCCAUGAAGGCACCGCACCGUCUGAGCUAUUCAAGGAUCAGUAGUCUGAUAAAAAUUGAGAACCUCGUGGAUUGCUUGCUGGCUUCACCCUCAUAAUCAUCUUUCCGUAUUCGUUGAAUCAACACCAAGAAAUUACUAUCUAUGUAUUGGACGUCUGCAAAGCUGAACUUGUGAUGAAC
Non-coding RNA from Musa acuminata subsp. malaccensis (wild Malaysian banana), 793 nucleotides. Lineage: Eukaryota; Viridiplantae; Streptophyta; Magnoliopsida; Zingiberales; Musaceae. The record is from RefSeq and is a predicted model, not a curated record.